UUAUAGCUCAGUCAGUAGAGCGUGAGACUCUUAAUCUCAGGGUCAAAGGUUUGAGCCCCACCUUGCGGAAAAG
Non-coding RNA from Podarcis lilfordi (Lilford's wall lizard), 73 nucleotides. The record is from the annotation of a GenBank genome assembly. Lineage: Eukaryota; Metazoa; Chordata; Lepidosauria; Squamata; Lacertidae.